UGGAGCCUGGGUGCUGCUCUGCCCACACCCGGAGCAGGUGAGACGCUAGGGGCCGUCCGGGGCGGGAAGGGAUCUCUCUCUCCUGCCCCGGUAAGACGACGCAACAGCAGGGUCGCUCGACCCAGUGACAGCUCCACUUGCGCUCCCUGGCACUCUCGGAGUUAUGUUGCUGAGGCUGGCCUUCAACUCCUGGGCUCAAGUGAUCUUUCUGCCUCAGCCUCCAGAGUGCCUGGGCCUACAGUAUUGGGCCACCUCAUAUGCCCCAGGAAGUCAGAGGAAGAAGAAAACUUCUCUGGGAACUGCUACACCAAAGGAGGACCAUGCUCUGCCUCUGAGGCUUAUAAGAGUGCCUGAAGAGCUCAUUCUGGCUUAGAAACAGUACAUAGUGAACCAAACUCAUCUGUCAGUGAGUAGGAGGAAGGGAGGCAAGGAGAGAAGAGAGAAUUAAAAUUGUAAACCCCAUAUCACGUGGCUUCUUCCUUGAACUUUAAUAACUCUGUGUUGCCUACAGGCUCAGAAACACCAAAUGCAAUAGUAGGUACAAGGAUUGCUCUGGUGCCAGGAAAAUGCAGUAAGACACAACUUUUACAAGGUAGGCAAUGAAUAAAUGCCCUGCAGGAACAAAACAGGCUUUUAACAUCUCCAAAGUUGGCAGCCAGAUGCCUCAAAUGUUAGCUUAGUGCAUUCACAACGCACAACAGAUAGGACCACGUACUUGAAGAUGAAAUCAUUUUCCAGGGGAAACAAUCUCUGGGGAGGCUGGGUUUUAUAAGGAGGAAGAGGGGAGGAUCUAUAUUUUCUUUGCCACAGCAUGACACACUUUAAUGCAUGUUUUUGGUAUGCUAGGCACAUUUUUUUUUUAAAGAAUGCUUUAAAAGAGAAGACAGUGAGCAGAUUGCUUCAGUUACUCAAAGAACUAUCAUUGUCCCCUGGUUGGGGAGGGAUCUAAUUCUGUCUCAUAGUGGUGUUAUCAAAAAGAUAUGAAACUACAAGUCUUCAUUUGGAUUCUGCAGUUGGGGUGUCUUGUUACACUCUACCCCCAGAAGUGUUAAAGGAAGUGCCUGUCAUCAAAAUUCAAAAGCAAAUCCAGAAACGAUGCAGGCAAAACCAAAAGGAUCAGCAUUUUGCUUCAGUUUCCUGUUCAUAAAACUUUAUAAAAACAAUCCACCCACUUAAAAAAAAUGCCACAACAAUAGCUCAUAUUCUUUGCUUAACACUUGCCUCAUGCCUCUGUGAAAUGAGGUGCCAUCAUGUUUCCUGCAUAUACCACAUCCCUUUCCUCCUUCCCUUGCCCUCACCCCACCUGGCAUCAUUCCUAGAUUCAGUCACUUCUCCAGAUUACGAGCUCAAGCAGAGAGAUGCCAAUUUCCUCCCCAACCUGUCCUGAGGAGGCCAAGUACUUGUUCCAGCUGGAAGCAGGAAUAAUUGAGGUUCUGUUUCCCCAAAUUAAUUCUCACUUCCUAGAGGAACUUGUAAUGGGGAAGCCUAAGUUAAGAAGUCACAAAGUUAAGGAAAAAAUGCAGACUGCUCCAGUAAACUGAAAAAUAAUUAUAAAUGUAUUGCCUCGUGACCUCAAUUUUUGAAGAAUAGGAUAUCUUCUUCCUACCCUGGUCCUAUUGCAAAACUUUCUUUGUGGAAUAUCCAACAGACUGUGCUUCAUUUUCUGAGAGAAUAAAGUAGAAUAAAGCUCUUGAACAAAAAAAA
This is a long non-coding RNA of Marmota monax (woodchuck), 1704 nucleotides long. RefSeq lists it as uncharacterized. The record is from RefSeq and is a predicted model, not a curated record. The transcript is spliced from 2 exons. Lineage: Eukaryota; Metazoa; Chordata; Mammalia; Rodentia; Sciuridae.